CCAUAAAUGAAUACAAACAUUACUAAUUACUGAAUAUACUAUAUAACAUGCCUCAUCUAUUUUUCUCAUCUAAUUAUAUGGCUAAGGCAAACCAUAAAUAAAUAAAUAAACCAACCAACUUUCCCAGCAAACAUAGUAACAUUAUUUCAUCUGAUAUUCACUGUAACACCUGAGUGGCCUUGACAUGAGUCUGCAUAACUUCUCAUUAGAUAGUUCAAAUCUUUGUACAGAACUGUUUGAUGUUUCUCCACAUAUUUUCUCCUUAGGCAUUCCAAUCUCCUUGGCCAAAUUCUCUGCCCCACUUUAUGAAUCUAUCACUUUAUCAAAGCAAAUGUAUCUACCAGAAGCAUUGCUGUUCAUUGCCUUCAACACACUUGCAUGAGCUUCUGCCAAUUUGGUCACAUCCACUGUUACUAGCAGACCAAGAGAAUACAUUUCUUGACCACCUACAUCAGCAAUUUUAAGUGUCUUGCCACACACAAGCUGCUAGUGAGGAAGUGAACACACAUCUCUUUAUUGAAGCUGUUCUUGCACAUGCUUCCAUCACAUUCUCAGCAACUCUUUACUUCAAUCUUAGCCAUGGAUUUCUAGAAAUCAGACAAACAAUUGCUCAGAUAUUAU
RNAcentral lists this small RNA (621 nucleotides) under Vigna angularis var. angularis. RNAcentral's name for it is "Non-protein coding transcript". The record is from RNAcentral. Lineage: Eukaryota; Viridiplantae; Streptophyta; Magnoliopsida; Fabales; Fabaceae.